UGUACUCAAGCGGCACGACCAGCUCCUGCCAAAUCCCCCAGGUCCGGAAGGAAGCAAGGGUAGGCGGUUGUAGCGGUGCGAUGCCGCUUCUUUUUUUACUUUUU
This 104-nucleotide signal recognition particle RNA is filed under the name Echinicola vietnamensis DSM 17526. RNAcentral describes it as "Bacterial signal recognition particle RNA". It matches the Rfam family "Bacteroidales small SRP". Rfam says of the family: The non-coding component of the signal recognition particle in Bacteroides The record is from RNAcentral. Lineage: Bacteria; Pseudomonadati; Bacteroidota; Cytophagia; Cytophagales; Cyclobacteriaceae.